UUAUCUUACUAGCUAAAUGAUUAACACAUCAAAACAGCUAGUUUCCCAGAGCUAAAAGAAAGGGUUUGGAUUUGUGUUGGUAGCUGUUUGCAAUUCAAAUUAGUUUGUCAAGUGGUUUCAGAUUCUUCAAUCAGGGUCCUGAAGUUAACCUGGGGACACUGAGUGAAGGCUGUAAUUGCAAAGAUGUUUUCACAUGGGUGAAUUGGAAGCCCUAUGGAUGAAAAGCAAACGACGGAAUAGGGCCCUGGAUUGCUUGGCUGAAUGGAAGGGAAAAUGAAACAGUGAGUCGGUUGUCAUUUUCUCUCAAGCGAGGCAAAGUCACUGAAGGGAUCAGAGAAAGGUUUAAAUGUGGAACGAUCAAUCUUAGAUGUGAUCUGGACUUCAGUUGAGUGGAAUUUCUUGAAUCCUUGAUGUGAAUGAGGAAUGCGGAGGAGCCCAUGCAAAAGCAGAUUUACUGGAAAGGAGAACUGGAAAUUUCAAGGGGUUUGUGUUUGUCAUUGUCAACCCUUUUAGCAAAUAACAUUGAUCAUUAGGGUGGGUGUUAUUGUUGUUGUUGUUUAAGAACGUACGAGAAUUUGUAAAAUGCAGAGAAGCAAAAGUUGGAAAACUAAAAUUGCUUGCCACCAGAGAUCAACUACAGCACUUAGGCCUAUUUCCUUCUUACCUUCUUUCUUUCUUCCUUCCCUCCCUCCUUCCUCCCCUCUUUCCUUCCUUCUUUCCCAUCCAUUUAUCCAUCAUCUACCUAGCUCUUUUUAUAUAGCUAUUUCUUUAUUAUUAUUAUAUCGUUAUAUAUCUUUGUCAUUUGUUAUAUAAAGUUUGCAUUGUUGCUGCUUUUAAAAUGUUUUGACCUGUAAUCUUUAACUUGCAACCUUUAAGCCAGGGGGUCUUCUGGCUUUGUUAGGCAGGGUGGCUCAUGGGAAUUCAUGGCCUCUUAUUCUGGUAAAAACUUCCUUGCAAUCAAGAAUGUGGUGUUUUUUCUUGGUUUAAAACAAACAGAAACAAAAUCACACAGAACUAGAAGAGUUUGCACUAAACAUAUAUUUUUAAAUUUCUGCCUGCAAAAUUAUGUUCCACUGCCUCCUCUUUGCUCAGUUUCCCCCUUAUAUCCCUCCAGAUGUAGCCUCUGGAGUUCCUUGAGUCUCUGAGAGAUUGUUUCAUAGGGCAGGAUCAGAAAUGACUUGUCAAGAUCCCUGCAGAAGCAUCUAGAAAGAUGGGUAAUUUAUAAUUAAAACAAUAAGUAAUGGCGGUUAACAUCUUGCAAGGUGUUAUAUAUUUAAUUUUUUUUUUUAACAGUCUCUUUUUACAUUCAUGAACUCAGCCAGGAGUGGUAGAAAGAUAGUUUGGAUUGUGAGUCAAGGUGCCUUGAGUUCUAGUCCUAGUUUUUUCUCAACUAUUACCUUCUAAAAGCACUUAAAUUCUCUGUGCCUCCAUUUUCCUAUAUAUAGAAGGAAGUGGGAGGGUUUGAUGGUUAGCGGGCCAGAUGCUUGCUGAGAUCAUUUCCAGGUCAGCAACCGCACUGUAUUAUGAAGGUUUUGGUGGCCCCAUAUUGGAUGGGCAUUAUUUCCAUUAACUACCAGUGAACAGUGCAUUUGCCAUGGGUACACGCUUAGAUGGAACCUGAUAAUAUACUAAUUUGGUGAGGUUGGGGGUUGGGAGGCAGGGGAAUCCAAGGUCUGAUUUCCCCCAAGCAAAGUCUGCUAAUGUUGUUCCUCUAUGCUGCUUCUAGUUUUUUUGGAUAAGCUAAGUGAAUAGGGGUGUGUGCAUAUAGAUAUGCAGGAUAAUUUAUCACACACAUACUUCAUUGGGGAACUGGCACCAGUUGGUACUUCCUGAGCAGCUCCAGUCAGUGCUUUCAGAGAAGAAAAAAAACUAACUUGUGCAGAUGCCUUUACAUGUAUUAUUCCACCUAAUUCUCACAGCAUCCCUUCAGGGUAGAUCCCCUGUUUUGUAGAUGUACACACUAGGGUUCAGAGUGAUUGAGUAACUUGUUCAAAAUGUGAACACGGAUCCAUAGGACUCUAGGGCCAAAGUACAUUUCAGAGGACUCCACUUUGACUCACUCUACUGAGGCAGAGGGAAAAGAAGAAAAUAAGGGGAAGAGGAGCAGGUGAAGAAGUGGACUAAAGGAGUUUCCUCUGCAUGGUGCUGUCGCAGAACUACUCUUACAGAUAGUGCAGCGCAGGUGUGGGUCAACAAGCUCCUUUCCUAUGCUCCUUUGCCACGUUCUAUUGCCUUUCUUUUGGGAUUAUCAGGUUUCCCAGGGCUCCCAGGCUUUCCUAUCCCUCCCACUAGCACCCCAUCCUGAUGAGCCAUUACCAAUAUUUCAUGUUCUAGAAUCAUCUCGUCUUCUGAUUCCUGCAAUAGAAGCUUCCUUUUCUCUAUAUGGUGGAUUCAGCUAAGUGGAAAGCAAUCUGACUGAGUGGAUCUAUAUGAGAAUGUGAAUGCCUAAAAGGUUCUCAUUAUUAAGAAGGAUGUUGAUAUGUGAAAAUCUGACAAAUGCCAUUGCAAACAGAAACUGGGUGAAGAAAACAAAAAUUCAGGCUGUUGGGAGAAGAGCUGAAGACUAUAGGAUGUCAACUGUGGAUACAACUCACAAGCUACCAUAUUGAUGUGACAUGAUGAAGUGGGAAGGAAAGCCAUCUGGAGUUUCACUGGUGAAUUGAUACAUCUUGCACUUAACAUUGUGUAUCCCCUGGACUUUGAUCAAAUGGACAUGGGCUUUCUGAUCUACUGCAGAGUGCCUGGAAAUUCAGGCUCCUAGGAGGAAGGAACUUGCAUUAUCUCAGGUGAGACUUUGGACUUGGACUUUUGGAUUAAUGCUGGAGUGAUAUAAGACUUUGGGGGACUGUUGGG
Molecule: long non-coding RNA, 2853 nt
Organism: Homo sapiens (human)
Lineage: Eukaryota; Metazoa; Chordata; Mammalia; Primates; Hominidae
Exons: 3
Source: RefSeq, a predicted model, not a curated record